GACGUAGGGCGCGAGCGUUGUCCGGAUUUAUUGGGCGUAAAGAGCUCGUAGGCGGCUCGUUGCGUCGGCUGUGAAAACCCGCAGCUCAACUGUGGGCUUGCAGCCGAUACGGGCGGGCUGGAGUUCGGUAGGGGAGACUGGAAUUCCUGGUGUAGCGGUGGAAUGCGGCAGAUAUCAGGAGGAACACCGGUGGCGAAGGCGGGUCUCUGGGCAGUAACUGACGCUGAGGAGCGAAAGCGUGGGGAGCGAACAGG
This 254-nucleotide ribosomal RNA is filed under the name uncultured bacterium. Its description in RNAcentral is "partial 16S ribosomal RNA". It matches the Rfam family "Bacterial small subunit ribosomal RNA", at positions 524 to 776 of the family's 1533-position model. The record is from RNAcentral.